This 491-nucleotide long non-coding RNA is filed under the name Rhinopithecus bieti (black snub-nosed monkey). RNAcentral's name for it is "lncRNA (ENSRBIG00000045636.1)". Lineage: Eukaryota; Metazoa; Chordata; Mammalia; Primates; Cercopithecidae. The record is from RNAcentral.
AGGAGGCUCAGCGGUGGGUUUCUAACAGUGGCAAGUAGUGCUUCUUCCCACAGCCCUGGGCUGGACCCCAGGCCCUUGCAUACUGGGCACAGCCAGGACUCCCCAACCCUGGGGCAUAUGCUUCCAGGAAGAGGGGGGAAAUGGAAUUUGUGGAGAGUGGCAGGCAGGUGGAGCAGACAACUCCUAGAUUUCUGACAGGAGGCCCAGCAUCUCAGGAUUGUACCCAAGUGGCUCUCGCACCAGUAUCAGGGCCAAUGGCAGGGUCAGCAGAAAAUAGCAGAGGGGCUUGAAAACAGAUGGGAACAUCUGGAAAAGUCAAUUUGGAGUGUAGCUUCUGAGUGAAAUAUUGUUACUGCAUUUCUGAGAGAGGAGAGCUGAGAUUUGAAUCCGCCUCAGACUGUGCUGGAAACAGAAUACAGAGCCCAUCACAGGAUGUCCUGAACUCUGUAGCCUCGUUUCUGAAAGUAUCAUUAAACAUGUGGGAACCAAAU